Molecule: ribosomal RNA, 253 nt
Filed under: uncultured prokaryote
Description: partial 16S ribosomal RNA
Rfam family: Bacterial small subunit ribosomal RNA
Source: RNAcentral
UACGGGGGGGGCAAGCGUUGUUCGGAAUUACUGGGCGUAAAGGGCUCGUAGGCGGCCAACUAAGUCAGACGUGAAAUCCCUCGGCUUAACCGGGGAACUGCGUCUGAUACUGGAUGGCUUGAGUUUGGGAGAGGGAUGCGGAAUUCCAGGUGUAGCGGUGAAAUGCGUAGAGAUCGGAAGGAACGUCAAUGGCGAAGGCAGCCACCUGGCAUAAUACUGACGCUGAGGCGCGAAAGCGUGGGGAGCGAACGGG